RNAcentral lists this ribosomal RNA (497 nucleotides) under uncultured bacterium. Its description in RNAcentral is "partial 16S ribosomal RNA". It matches the Rfam family "Bacterial small subunit ribosomal RNA", at positions 28 to 507 of the family's 1533-position model. The record is from RNAcentral.
GAUGAACGCUGGCGGCGUGCCUAAUACAUGCAAGUCGAGCGAACAGACGAGGAGCUUGCUCCUUUGACGUUAGCGGCGGACGGGUGAGUAACACGUGGAUAACCUACCUAUAAGACUGGGAUAACUUCGGGAAACCGGAGCUAAUACCGGAUAACAUAUUGAACCGCAUGGUUCAACAGUGAAAGACGGUUUUGCUGUCACUUAUAGAUGGAUCCGCGCCGCAUUAGCUAGUUGGUAAGGUAACGGCUUACCAAGGCAACGAUGCGCAGCCGACCUGAGAGGGUGAUCGGCCACACUGGAAUUGAGACACGGGCCAGACUCCUACGGGAGGAAGCAGUAGGGAAUCUUCCGCAAUGGGCGAAAGCCUGACGGAGCAACGCCGCGUGAGUGAAGAAGGUCUUCGGAUCGUAAAACUCUGUUAUUAGGGAAGAACAAAUGUGUAAGUAACUAUGCACGUCUUGACGGUACCUAAUCAGAAAGUCACGGCUAACUACGUG